RNAcentral lists this ribosomal RNA (430 nucleotides) under uncultured bacterium. RNAcentral describes it as "bacterial SSU rRNA". It matches the Rfam family "Bacterial small subunit ribosomal RNA", at positions 355 to 776 of the family's 1533-position model. The record is from RNAcentral.
UAGGGAAUAUUGCACAAUGGAGGAAACUCUGAUGCAGCAACGCCGCGUGAGUGAAGAAGGCCCUUGGGUCGUAAAGCUCUUUAGCCUGGAAAGAAGUGCCAUCCUGUUAAUAAUUGGGUGGUGUGACGGUACCAGGAGAAUAAGGACCGGCUAAUUUCGUGCCAGCAGCCGCGGUAAUACGAAAGGUCCAAGCGUUACUCGGAAUUACUGGGCGUAAAGCGCGCGUAGGCGGCUUUGUAUGUCGAUUGUGAAAGCCCCGGGCUCAACCUGGGAACUGCAGUCGAAACUGCAAAGCUUGAAUGUUGGAGAGGUUGGGGGAAUACCUAGUGGAGAAGUGAAAUUCGUAGAGAUUAGGUGGAACACCAGAGGCGAAGGCGCCUGACUGGCCAAACAUUGACGCUGAGGCGCGAAAGCGUGGGUAGCAAACAGG